UACAAAUUACUGUUAAGGAUUGUCAUUCUGCUCUUCAUAUAGCAGCUCAAUUCGAGAUUCCUUGUAUGCUUUUGGAGAAUCGAUAAGCCAAUCCAGAUUGGUUGAAUCGUCAUACAAGUGUGUUCAGUUUUAUCGUCGUAUGUGCUCUGACCAGCCUCCCGCUACCAUUCUCCGACCACCCACCAGAGUUUGUCAAUGAUUACACAACGACAACCCACCGGCAUGAAACCUACAAUCACCGCCGUUGAAUGCUUUUUCCCAACUUGUGGUUACUCUCCAAUCAGUAACUCUUUCAUCUCUGCAAGAUCGGAAGAUCUAAGGUUAUAAAUUGAAGACGAAUAAUUGAAGGAGACAUGUGUGCUGAGAGAUCGAUUAGGUCUCUUUUUAGGCAAUAUGGGGCUUUACCCAGAUUGUCAUACUCACUCAUCAUUGUGAUUCCAGUCGCUUCAUCCACAACUUUAGAGGUUGAAAUUUAUUAGGAAACUAAACUGAUAAAAUCCCAGUGCCAAAGGUGAUUAUAAAUCAGGACUCAGAUCUAGAUCUAGAUCUUGAUGCAAGUGUGAUGGGAUCACUUACAAAUCUUGGAAUGAAUGUUGUCAAGGCAAAUGAUCAUCUGAAUUCUUCCGGGAAUCACACCAUGUUUUUAACAACUGAAGCAUCAUAGACAUGAUGCAGCAAGAGCAGAAAAUUCAUUUACUCUUAUUUUUAGGAGUGAAUUAAUCGGUAUGCAAAUCUGCAAAAAAGGUAUAUAGGUUUUUUCUACUGUUAUUUCUAGAUAUAGCAAAAUGUGCGUGUUAGGCAACAAUUCAAAACGGGCCAGGUUGGGUUGACCUUAAACAUGAUGGUUUUGGUGACCAACAACACAAAUUUUAUCUUUGAACUAUAUUUUGUAUCAUUUUUACCUUAGUUGGGAUUCUUUUGUUACCGAUGAUUAGGGGUGUUCAUGGUUUGGUUUAAAACUGAGAAACCGUCCAAACCGAUCAUCGGUUUGGUUACAUGUUCGGUUUUUUAUUAACUUUCAGUCAGUCGGUUUUAAAAAUUCCAAACUAUAGCAUACGGUUCGGUUUUCGGUUGAUACCAAAAAUCGGUCGUAUAAAACUGGACCAUUUGUUUGAUAAUAUAUUGAGCUUAAUAAAAAAAAAAACUAUCCAAAUAAGACUUGAAGUGGAACCAUUGGGUGUAUUUAUAUUAGCUUAUCCCUGUAUGGGUUGUAUGAAAAAUUAUAAUGUCUCUGGUCACUUCAAACAAAACCUCAAUAAUUUAGUUAGUAAUUAGUUAUCUUAUUAUUGUUUUCUAUUGAUGUGAUAAAUGGAUAAGUAGACUAGAGAUUUGAACAAUUUGUUUCCAUCUAGCCAAUAAUUCAGUAUCAAGUUUCACACUUAAAUAUUAUUUUUUUAUAAAUCCAUGGUUGCUAUUGUAGACAAUAUUCCUAUAAGUACAGUGACUUCGUUUAUAUUGUUACUUGGGCAGGGGCAAAAUUGCAAAGGCUAAAAGACUGAUGAUGUUCAAACUGGUAACGGUUUGGUUUGGUUUCAAAUUUCAGCGGUUUGGUUCUGGUUUACAAUCAUAAAAAAUCAUUAGUGGCUUACGGUUUGCCUAAAAACCGUAAAAAAAACCGAACCGUGAACGCCCCUAUUAAUGAUGAUACUUGCAAAGUGUGAAUUGUUUACUUGAAUAUACUUUUAAAUGCCGAAUUUUACCUUCAAAUACCGCUACCGUACCGAUACCAUACCGAUACCGUACCGUACCGACAUAUUUCGCUAUGUGUAUCGGUACCCGGUUUUGGCGGAAUUCGGUAUCGGGACGGGAUCGGGAUUUGAUCAUCCCUACUUACUUAAAGACUUUUCAUCUUGAAACAUUUGUACUGAUCAAUAAUCAUAUAUAUAAUGGGUUGAUUACUGGUGCCCAAAUGGUUUCAAGUGUGAACUCAAUUAUCAAGCACUAGUGUUUGCACCAGGUGGAGAUCUUAUAAAGGUUAAAAGAGCAGUUUGCAUGAUCAGCAACAACACAGCAGUUGCCAAGGGGUUGCAAAAAAAUGUCACAUUUUGUAAUAUUUGUUGAGCUAUCAAGACCUUGAUGCUCUAGAGGAUGAGGUCAUUGUCAUAGAGUACGAGAGCAUGCACACUAUUCUUUAAUGGAGUUGAAGGACCAAGGCCUGACCUGACCCAACCGAACGCACAUUUAAGCUGAGUUUUUUUUUUCUGAAGACGACGUGAGUCAUUGAUCGAAUUGAGUAUGUUCUACCUACCAUUAACCACUUCGAAUGGAGAUAAAAAGGUGUUCUUUUGUUCUCAUUUUAGUCAUUUCUGAUUAUGAUUGUAUUUGAUGAUCUUAAUUUAUUGGUUGAUAUAUGCUACUAUGUCGAUCUUUAAAUUUUUUUUGACAAUGCAGUGCACUGUUUUACU
RNAcentral lists this long non-coding RNA (2405 nucleotides) under Helianthus annuus (common sunflower). RNAcentral describes it as "hypothetical non coding rna". Lineage: Eukaryota; Viridiplantae; Streptophyta; Magnoliopsida; Asterales; Asteraceae. The record is from RNAcentral.